RNAcentral lists this ribosomal RNA (498 nucleotides) under uncultured bacterium. Its description in RNAcentral is "partial 16S ribosomal RNA". It matches the Rfam family "Bacterial small subunit ribosomal RNA", at positions 28 to 523 of the family's 1533-position model. The record is from RNAcentral.
GAUGAACGCUAGCGGCAGGCCUAAUACAUGCAAGUCGGACGGGAUUUGGGAGCUUGCUCCUAAUGAGAGUGGCGCACGGGUGCGUAACACGUAUGUAACCUACCUUAAUCAGGGGGAUAGCCUCUCGAAAGAGAGAUUAACACCGCAUAAUAUAUUUUUAUGGCAUCGUAGAAAUAUCAAAUAUUUAUAGGAUUAAGAUGGGCAUGCGGAACAUUAGCUAGUUGGUAAGGUAACGGCUUACCAAGGCUACGAUGUUUAGGGGAUCUGAGAGGAUGACCCCCCACACUGGUACUGAGACACGGACCAGACUCCUACGGGAGGCAGCAGUAAGGAAUAUUGGUCAAUGGGCGCAAGCCUGAACCAGCCAUGCCGCGUGCAGGAAGACGGCCCUAUGGGUUGUAAACUGCUUUUGUACCGGAAUAAACCCUUUUACGUGUAAGAGGCUGAAUGUACGGUAAGAAUAAGGAUCGGCUAACUCCGUGCCAGCCGCCGCAGUAA